CUGUUCCCUCUGCUUGGUUCCACAGCAGGAAGGAAUGAGGGUCGGCUAGAAAGUGACCUGUCUGGAUCGCCAACCCCAGGCUGCCCACACGCGCACUCUGCCCCUGGGGAGGAAGGAGAAGCCUCCAGCAUAAGGCUGCCAGGUGGAGGGCCCAGCUGUGGGAGGGGUGCCCCAGGUCAUUUCCGGAGCAACCCCUGAGGAUUCAGCGUUAUCCUUGCUGGCAUCUGGUCUCCUCCCACAGGCAGCAUGAUCCCAGGCUAAGCCCCUCCUGGCAGGUGUCCCAGAAGGGGAAGACGAUGACCGUCUCUGAGCCACUUAGCCCAUCACGACAGCUCCAGGAGCGUUUGACGUCUGCAAAACAACGUCACCAGGUGUCAGCUUUUCCUCACGGUAGACCUAGUGCUAGUAAAUGUACUGUGACCAGUGUCAUGUGUUUAUGAGAAUGGGCAUAAUAAAUUAUCACGUCAAGUUCGCCCCUCGGCAGCCACAGGCUAGAACCGCUAACACUUCUGGUGACUCGUUUCCUCGGACUUCUACCAGGCUUCCUGUGCCGAGGCCACUGUGUGGGGCAAGGAGGAGGCAGCGAUGGGCCGG
RNAcentral lists this long non-coding RNA (594 nucleotides) under Lynx canadensis (Canada lynx). Its description in RNAcentral is "lncRNA (ENSLCNG00005013752.1)". Lineage: Eukaryota; Metazoa; Chordata; Mammalia; Carnivora; Felidae. The record is from RNAcentral.